UAAAUAAAUAAAUAAAUAAAUAAAUAAAUAAAUAAAGUAAGUAAGUAAGUAAAUAAGUAAGUAAGUAAGUAAGUAAGUAAGUAAGUAAGUAAGUCAUGUGCACACUUACCUGGAUGUAAGCCUCACCAAGAUUUACCACUGAUUAACCGUUCUGUCAAUAUUUAAAACAUUUUCACAACUGUAACUAGAUUUGGGCUAAAGUGGAGCUAGCCUACAUAUAUUAAAGUGAAAGACUAUGAAAUUCAAAUAUUUUGUCAUUUUGAGCUCAUAACAAAGUUUGUGGCACUAUUUAAAAACAUGUCACAUCACACCACACAAACACAGUUCUUGUUGUAGCACAACUGUGCCAGAUACUUUGUAUAUAUAUCUACUCUCAUGCCAAUUCCAUCCAGCAAAAUAAUGCUUCAGAAGCUCAGUGGUCUUACUUACUGGAUCUGUCACAGUUGCCGGAAACAUCAGGAUUUCCUUGACAAAGCAGGCUUGAUUGCAGACACAGCUUUUCAAGUCCUGAGGAGGAGGCCGGAGGCAGCAGCAGCCCCGGCCGCCGCCGGGCCGCCAUGGAGCCCAAAAGGCGGGACGAGAAGGGAGAGAAAGCGCCGCGGCUCGGAAGGCGGGCCCGGAUGGAGGAGGUGGCAGCCGCCGGGAGAGAGGGAGGGACGGAGGGAAGCAAGCGGCGGGCAAUUGUUGUUGUCGUUGUCGUCCUUCGCCCACCGCCGGACAAAAGCGGGAGCUAUGAGGUGGGCGGGUGGGUGGCCGCCAUCCUCUCUCUCUCUCAGCUCGUCCACCCCGCUGAGGAGCUGGCGGCUGCUUCCCAGCAGGGAGCCCCAGGCGGGUCAGGAGAGGCGGUGACACGCGUGCCGCUCUCGCUCGGGCCCACGGACGCGCGCCUCUUUUGACUCGGGUCGGCAGGAGCUUAGAGGACGAGGAGGCGGCGGCGGCGGCCCUGGCCCUCUUUCCGCCAGUAAGGCUAGACUGUGGAGGUACCGAGGGUUGCCUCGGCGAGAGGACAGCCGGGCUCGGUCCUUCCGCGUGCCUGGGUUGGAGGUGCUUGCACCAGAGCAGCCUUUGGACUGAGGGCCCGACCCGCUAAAGCCGCAACACUCUCCACAGCCCGCUCCAAAAACUCUUCCUGGCCUUCUGAUGUCUGCCACAUUUUAAUCUCAGUUAAAGGCUUUUUCCUUUCCAGAAUCUGGAGGGCCAUCAUUCGGGCAACCUUGUCCUCUCUGGGUGGGUGGGGGGACUUGAAGCAUUCAGGGAGGUUGGCAGGUCUUUGGGUCCGAGUCCUUGUGACCAAGUCCCGAGUCCUAAGUUUAGGGCGGUAUUAAAAUCAAGCUCUCUCCUCUCCAUCCCAGAAAAAAAGGGAGAGGGUGGGCGAGUAGUGAAUCACAAUUCGAGUCCGAGUCAUUAAGGAAAAAAACCCGAAUCCACUCGAGUCCUCGGAAGUCCGAUUUGGCAACAAGUCCCAUGACUCAAUUCCCCAUCCCUGGAAAUAUGUACAGUAUAAAUAUACCUACUUGUCCCACCCAUGUGUUCUCCAGAUACGAACUACAAAGCCCUUCAUCCACCACCAGCAGUGCCAUGGACAUGGAAGGGUCAGGGCAGGAACAGGUGUUAUACAUCACCAGUAAUUAGAAGAGGACACUUCUUAAGUGGCUGUUGUGGGUUUUUCGGGCUCUUUGGCCAUGUUUUCCUGAUGUUUUGCUAGUCUCUUUACAUACACACAAGUCAGUGGAAAUCCUUUAUAUACACACAGGAAGAUUGGUCGAUUGGAAUGCAUUAAAAUCUAUUUAAUGCAUUCCAAUUGGGGAAAAAUCACUGUUCUGUGAAAAUUAUCAAUAGAAGACAUCCUCUUGCAAAACACAGUUCCCCCAUACCAUAUUUGGAAAACACAAUCCCUUCAACUGCACUGCCUUUGGAAAUUCAAUGGGUCUCCCAGGGUCUUCCCUCUCUUUGAAAGAGGAUGAAAAAAAUCAAGCAGCCCCCUGGCUCUUGAUAACAGUGACUCUUUUUGCCCCAAUCCUUUACCAUAGGGGAGAAAAAGAGAAAGAAUGCAAUAUAAGACAUUGCUAAGACUUGCUGUUUACAAUAAAUCCUGAUUAGAGAAAAGAAAAUGAAUCUAG
Pogona vitticeps (central bearded dragon) is the source of this 2120-nucleotide long non-coding RNA. NCBI's taxonomy places the organism in Eukaryota, Metazoa, Chordata, Lepidosauria, Squamata, Agamidae. The record is from Ensembl.